AUGGAGACAUCUAAUUACAAGGAAAGGUGGAAAGAGCAAACUGCACAGAAAACCUGGAGCACCAGAAGCUGUAAGACACUUUGCAGCCCGGCUCUGCCUUCCCACAAAGCCUGCCCUGCGCUCUGCCACCCACCAAGGCAGGCGACUUACACGACACAAAUCCUUGAUGUCACUGAAGAGGUCUCUGGCAUAUUUCAGGCACCUAUUUGCUGUGUCCUAGAGGUAGAUGGAGAGAGACCCCUACUUUCUGUGAAUAAACCAAUUAGCCUGCCUCACAUGUGUACAUACUUUGUUCAUAAUUUUACUCGUGUGAAUUUAUGUGCAUGUAUGUGCAUUUACAAAGCCUGUGAGAGCCUGCUAAGGGACAGGGAGUCCUGUAAGAGAACAGCAGUCAGAAGAUAAACCUCUUCAGCUUAUCUCAGCAGGAUUCUGGUCCAUGCAGCUCCAUCCUCUGUACGACACAUGGCAGCUGCUGUGACAGUCAAUGAGCAGCCCCUCCUGUUUUCCCACUGCUCUUCAGGCAACACACAUCUUUUUUUUCAUCACCCUUAUAACCAUGGCACUAGCUUGGAGACAUCCUGGUCACAGAAGCAGCCAGGCUGUUCCCUCUCCAGGACACCAUCUCAGGCUCGGUGUCAGCUGCCAGAUGGGACAACCAAAACCCUCUGGGGCAGCAGGCACAUCUCUGUCGGGUUGGCUGGGAGACCUUAGCCCCAGGAGACACUGGGGGUGUUUGUGACUGUGAGCAGGAAUGCAGCCGAAGUGCCAGAUUUGCAGCUUAGCAGUAGGCUCAGGGACAAACAUUUUGGACUACAAAAUUAAUCUUCGCAAAUUGCCGGGGAGAAAGACGUGAAAGAGCCCCAUCUACCUGCUGCUUUUUUUAUCAGGGGUGUGAGUUUCACAAACUAGCAAUGAUUUGCAACCAUAACCUGGGGGGAAUAUUUACUGGAGUUAGAGCCUUCCAUAAAGAUUUUAGAUUAAGAGACAUGGAUAUUUGCAAAUGCCAUCUAAUUUCAAAAGCUGCCAAAACAUCAGCAGAUGCAUUAGUUAGGAAACUAAGUUUUCAAGCAACUGCCCAGCAUCUCCAAC
Molecule: long non-coding RNA, 1089 nt
Filed under: Anas platyrhynchos platyrhynchos (common mallard)
Lineage: Eukaryota; Metazoa; Chordata; Aves; Anseriformes; Anatidae
Description: lncRNA (ENSAPLG00000020894.1)
Source: RNAcentral